UUUUAAACUCCAUUAAAAAGGAAUUGAUUUAAAACAUUUUAAUCCUUUUAAAAUCCAUACUCAUAAAGCCUUAACUCAUGCUCUAUCUCAUAUUCUAUCUCUUUACUCAACUCUAUAUAAACUCUCCACUCAUCUCAAAUCCUUAAGUUCAAGGAUAGGUUUCAAGAAAAUCAUGGUACUAAGUCUCGAUUUAUCUCUCAUAUAAGGCUCGUCUAAUCUCAUUCAACACAUAGACAACACAAUCACAUAAGGCACAUAAGAAAACACAAUCAAACAUUAUCAAAACAUGCUCUGUUUUUACACUGACUCAACUUCAAAAUCUAACCUGUUCUUACUCCGACACCUCCUGGACUCGAGACUCAUACCAAAAGAAAGGUCAUCGAGUCUAUUUUCAUAUAAAAAAAAGUAGAGUCAAAAACUCGAAGUAUUGUAGGAGAUAUGACUGUUUUACUACAGUCUACCAUAUUCGGCAGUUUUGAGCAAUCGAAAACUUGGAUUUUUGAAAAAUAGUAAAUGUUGUCAAACUGGGCUCACAUUUUGUGGAUAUCUAGCUAACACAAUAAGGUUAAUACCAUAAAAUUUUGGAAAGCUAGAUCACACAGG
RNAcentral lists this long non-coding RNA (603 nucleotides) under Salvia miltiorrhiza (redroot sage). RNAcentral's name for it is "long non-coding RNA (SMIL_LNC009164)". The record is from RNAcentral. Lineage: Eukaryota; Viridiplantae; Streptophyta; Magnoliopsida; Lamiales; Lamiaceae.